RNAcentral lists this ribosomal RNA (484 nucleotides) under uncultured bacterium. Its description in RNAcentral is "partial 16S ribosomal RNA". It matches the Rfam family "Bacterial small subunit ribosomal RNA", at positions 30 to 507 of the family's 1533-position model. The record is from RNAcentral.
AUUGAACGCUGGCGGCAGGCCUAACACAUGCAAGUCGAGCGGAUGAAGGGAGCUUGCUCCUGGAUUCAGCGGCGGACGGGUGAGUAAUGCCUAGGAAUCUGCCUGGUAGUGGAGGAUAACGUCCGGAAACGGGCGCUAAUACCGCAUACGUCCUGAGGGAGAAAGUGGGGGAUCUUCGGACCUCACGCUAUCAGAUGAGCCUAGGUCGGAUUAGCUAGUUGGUGGGGUAAAGGCCUACCAAGGCGACGAUCCGUAACUGGUCUGAGAGGAUGAUCAGUCACACUGGAACUGAGACACGGUCCAGACUCCUACGGGAGGCAGCAGUGGGGAAUAUUGGGCAAUGGGCGAAAGCCUGAUGCAGCCAUGCCGCGUGUGUGAAGAAGGUCUUCGGAUUGUAAAGCACUUUAAGUUGGGAGGAAGGGCAGUAAGUUAAUACCUUGCUGUUUUGACGUUACCAACAGAAUAAGCACCGGCUAACUUCGUG